This 506-nucleotide ribosomal RNA is filed under the name uncultured bacterium. RNAcentral describes it as "partial 16S ribosomal RNA". It matches the Rfam family "Bacterial small subunit ribosomal RNA", at positions 30 to 523 of the family's 1533-position model. The record is from RNAcentral.
AUUGAACGCUGGCGGCAUGCCUUACACAUGCAAGUCGAACGGCAGCAUGGAAGAGCUUGCUCUUCUGAUGGCGAGUGGCGAACGGGUGAGUAAUGCAUCGGAACGUACCGUGUAAUGGGGGAUAACGUAGCGAAAGUUACGCUAAUACCGCAUACGACCUGAGGGUGAAAGCAGGGGAUCGCAGGACCUUGCGUUAUACGUGCGGCCGAUGUCAGAUUAGCUAGUUGGUGAGGUAAAGGCUCACCAAGGCGACGAUCUGUAGCGGGUCUGAGAGGAUGAUCCGCCACACUGGGACGGAGACACGGCCCAGACUCCUACGGGAGGCAGCAGUGGGGAAUUUUGGACAAUGGGGGCAACCCUGAUCCAGCCAUGCCGCGUGAGUGAAGAAGGCCUUCGGGUUGUAAAGCUCUUUCGGCCGGGAAGAAAUCGCACAGGCUAAUACUCUGUGUGGAUGACGGUACCGGCAUAAGAAGCACCGGCUAACUACGUGCCAGCCGCCGCAGUAA